Long non-coding RNA from Herpailurus yagouaroundi (jaguarundi), 2859 nucleotides. RefSeq lists it as uncharacterized. The record is from RefSeq and is a predicted model, not a curated record. The transcript has 5 exons. NCBI's taxonomy places the organism in Eukaryota, Metazoa, Chordata, Mammalia, Carnivora, Felidae.
UGACGGCGCGCGGAGGCGGCCGCGGAGACGCCUCCCCGGCGGGCCGGGAGGGAGUCGCGCGGGAACAACUGUCAACACCUAGUUCUGCCAGAGUCUUAUCGCAUCCGAAUUGCCUCCGCACACCCGAGGGCGGCUUCGGGAUUCGAGCCCACCGCCGCCCGCCCGUGAUCUACUGAGGCGUGGUCUGGACCGGUCUUGCACGGCCCUGCCUAACCUGAGAAGACUGCACAAUAGAGCUCACUGGUCCGAGGAACUCUCCCCGCCUACCGCUGGUGAUGAGAGGAAAAGAAUAGAAAUGCCAAUCGCCAGAGGAAAGUAACAAUACAGAAAUGAAGGAAGUAGAAAAGCAGAAAGAUCAUAAUCAAACCCUGCUAACCAUGCAAGCACAUGAGAAAGUUUUCUCAGUUUUGAAUGAUAUUCACAUUGGAAACAAACAGCCAGGAUUAUGCAAAUUAUUGUCUAGUCUGACUACCUGUAACUGCUAUCAACCACACUCAAAAAAAGUCAAUGCAAGUUCAUGAAAGUGAAGAUAUUAUGGGACAACAAAUGUACAGAAAAGUGAACAGAAGAUGAAAUACUCUGCUCUCAAACAGAAACUGACUGGAAACCAAACUGGAUUCAGAUAUGGAGGAAAGGAAGUAAAAACGUCAUCCACACUGUAUCACAGCAAAUAGAAGAAGUUGCCACAGCCACCCCAGCCUUCAGCAGCCACCACCCAAGAUCAUUCAGCAGCCAUCAAAAUCAAAGCAAGACCCUCCACCAAAACAAAAGAUCAUGUCUGCUUGAAAGCUCGGAUGAUAGCAUUUUUUAGCAAUAGUUUUUUUUUUAAUCAAGAUAAGAAAAAGAAAAAUGGAAAGAAAUGGCAUGGCUACCAUGUAAGCAUGUUAUAGUAUGUAAUUUUCAUCAGGUCACAGAAUUAAGAUUGUAGAAUUGGAAUUCAAACCCAGGUGGUCUGACUAGCCUGGAAAAAUCUGGAUAGAAGAAUGUUUGAUUUACUAAACCGUUUUCCUAAAUGAGAUAAAGCCAUUGAACCAGCUGUAGUUAGAUUUCCAACUCUGUUUGAUUCUUCGGUGUAAAUAAGCCAAUGAGAGAAAAGCCCCUACGUCUGAUCUCAUAACCUUAGGGGACAUGAAUCAAUGAGGAUCUCUUCUACAAUGAUGGACCAGAGCUUGGGGAAGAGUCAGGAAUAGCAGUGCUGAGGAACAUUAUUGACAUGGCCUGGUCACAGUCUAGUCCUACAAUAGCUACCAUGCAUGCAUACUGUCCUAAUGAAGUCCUGCUGUAAAAGAUUGCUUCUUUUAAUAUCUUCUUGAACAGGAACCUUGGCAGGGGUCCAGCAUAGUGAGUCAAGACACUAUUAGCAAAACUGUUGCCCUUUCCAUUACUAAGUUAAACAUGCCUAAAAUAUGAGAAUCCUGUCCUAGAAUCUGGAUGACAAGAGAGUGGAUGUCAUAGUUGGGACCAUUUCCUUCACGCACCACAACAACAAAAGCCCUAUUCUUUUUUUAAGACAAAGUGUAAAGAGCACCCAAUCUGUUCCUAGCAUGGGUUUGAUCUCUAGUCUUGUAGUCCAGCAGUCAUUCUGAAAAACAUAAAUGACAUGAACAUAAUGGCAGCAUACAGGGGGCAAGCAGAGGAUAGGUAGAGAUGUAGAAAAGAUGUGGAAGAUUACUGAAACCAUGUAUUGACUUCUCCAUAUUUCCCCUAAUUUAGACAGAGGGCUGUGGCACAAAGCUUCUCUCAACUGCUUUCAUUGCCUUACGGUAGCAAUGUAAAAGAUGUAUUUCCAAUAAGAAUUAACUUCAUCUCCUCUUCAAGUUGUGACUAAUUGUAAGUGCUAUGUAGAUAGUCAGUAACAAAAAAUCGUCUGGGACUGUUGAAUUCUCAUAGAAAAGCUAAUAGUGUAUUUGAUAUUGGAUCAAAGAGGUAAUUUUUGGCAACAGAAGUGUACUUUUCUAUCUAGUCAUGAUAACAUAAUCAACUAGCAUAUAUCAACCUAAUGGCUUAUUAGCUCUUGUCUACGUAUUUGAUUUCAGGGCCUGUUGAUGCAUCCUUAGUUGUUUGCAAACUGCCUAGUAUGUAAAUGUCCUAGAGAAUCCCAUGUAGCCAUCAUAUUAACUCACUGUAAAGGGUAAACUUACCUGUAAAAGGGAGAUAUUUACAGUACUUAAUUCUUAGGCAUCAUAUGAGGAUUAAAUGGGACAUGUGCAUGAAGGAUUUAGAAUAGUGCUUGGUACCUAGAAUGUGUAUCAUAAGUCAGGGGCCCUUCCAGGAAGUAGCAUUCUCUCCGUAUGACCCAAAGGAAUAAGUGUUAGUGAAAGUACUGCAUACAUGAGGGUAGGGGGAAGGGAACAAGCAAGGGCUGGUAGGCACCUGGAGACAAGCAAUACUCCUCAGGCUGAGGGGACACAGGAAAGAGAGCCAGCUGUUAGCUGAAACUGUAGAAGAGGGACCACCCAGUAGGCAUUGUAAUCUAAGAGGGAUGAAACUGCUGACAGAGAUGCUUUGUCAAAGCAGAGGGGGAUUGGGAAGAAAUACUCUGACCUAUUUCUUGUGCCAGUGCCUCCCAUCAGCCAAACUUAAACAGCAGCCAACUUGGCCAGAUAGCGUAGGACAUGCAGUCCUUGGUGAUCAGUUUGCUAGAGCAUAAGGCAGAAAAGAGCAAAUAAUGGAUUUGGGGGGUGAGGUAAUGGGGAGAAGGGGGAAUGCAGAUUAACCAAUGUACUCUGAUUCAUUUUCUAUUUUAAACCAAAACAAACUAUCUGAAUCCUAACCAAGUUGGUAUAACUGCAUCUUUUCCCUACUAUGAGAAAUAAAUUAUGUGAAAUUUUGUUCAUAUAAAGGUUCAUAUAUGCUUUC